GUGAGAUUAUGCAUGCAAAGUGCUGAGCAUGGGGCCUGGCUCAUAGAAAGUAUCAAAUAAGUGGUAGACAAGUUGUCAUUUUCACUUGUGGUUGAUAAUUUCCACUUUUGCCUUUCUGCAGCCCAGAGACAGAAGCAGAUAAUGCAAGUGUCAUCUACAUCUGGCAAAAGCCAAAGGUUUGGAAGAUGGAAAAAGGAAUCCAGGCAAAAAGGAGCCCAAGAUUGAAGUGAAUGACCAGGUCCAAGGUGAAUGUCCAGUGCUGUUGUCCUUGGCCUGCAGCAGGAGGAGCAGGGAUCUAAGACUUGGAGAGCAAAUGUCAAGCUCAGAAGAAAGACUGGAAGUUUGGGGACAAAACCCAAAUAUGGCUAAAGAAAGCCUGUAGGAUGAAGUUGGAAGUUCCAGAGCCUUCUCUUCACAUAAUGGGACAUGCAAGGGGGAAACCAAAUCAAAAGUGUAGAAUGCGUCGCUGGAUGUCUUUGACAUGUUAUUGUUCUGAUAGAAUAUCAGCGGGGAGCUACUGAGGACCUCCUCACUACCCUCCCUUGGAAGAGUUUGUCUGCAAUGGAGCCAACACAGUGGAAAGCAGAGCUGAGAAAUGGACAAACAACUCCUGAUGCCUCAUUUGAGCACCUGGAUUUAGCCAUGUCUGAAGCUAUUAUAUCCUUGAACUUUUGAAUCAUGCACUGUUUUAAGUCCCAAAGAAAGAGGCAGAGGAGCGACAGAGAUGACUUCCUCCCUUGAAAACGAAGCAUGUGGCCUGACAACCUAAAAUUGGGGUCAAUCCAUCCAAUUAUGGUGACUGCUUAGAAAUAUCCCUUUUCCUCCCAACGUUUUCCUUUCCUUCUCCCAUAAACAUAAUAAUGUCUCCUGCCAGUACUAAGGCAUGGCCCAUGGACCCACUAACACCUAUGCUCACGUUAGCUCUUGAGGCCGAGUGGCUUGGUUCUAUCUGGUUAUCAGAUGCAAACUUCAUCACAGCAGGGAUUUGGGCUAGACAUUAGAGGAAUAGUGUGGUACCAGAUGGUGUUUCUGAAGAAGGUUGUCCUAUUUUUGCAGUUUAAGGAUUUGAUAAUAAAUCUGCCUGGCAGCCCUCAGAUGUGAUUUGGCCUUGAAA
Molecule: long non-coding RNA, 1114 nt
Filed under: Homo sapiens (human)
Lineage: Eukaryota; Metazoa; Chordata; Mammalia; Primates; Hominidae
Description: long intergenic non-protein coding RNA 877
Source: RNAcentral